Xenopus laevis (African clawed frog) is the source of this 837-nucleotide long non-coding RNA. RefSeq lists it as uncharacterized. The record is from RefSeq and is a predicted model, not a curated record. The transcript is spliced from 3 exons. Lineage: Eukaryota; Metazoa; Chordata; Amphibia; Anura; Pipidae.
UUACCUGGCAACGGGGAAAGUUUGUGGGCGGAGAUUGUAUGGAGGGCUGGGGCCACAGGUAGAGUUACCAGGUGAAGGUAUGAAGAAGACAGGAAUCUUGGGCACUGGUGCACAAUCUCAUGGCUGGAGACCUCCAAGAAAAAAGUGAGAUCAAUUACACAGCGGUAAAACAUCUUCUGUGGGGCUGUGGUAACUACAACCUGAGAGAGACUAUUCAGGCCAAGGGAAAAGACAAGGAAGCAGAAAAGGUCAAUAUGAGGGAGAUGCCAACAUCCCUGGAUAGUGACUCAGACGUGCUCUCCAAUGGUGUGAUGACUUUACCUCUCGGUAGGACAGAAGUACAAGAAGGAUGGGAACCUUUGGUAGAGGUGGGACAUCGCUUGAGACCUUCAAUCAGAAAGGGAGAUAUAUGACAGAGCAGCAUAAUGGCUACUGUGGGUCCGUCACUGUCAAACGCACACUGGGAGAGAAUAUUGAUGCCAGCAUUAAAGAUGGUAGAAUGGGACUCCCUCAGCAACUGGUGCAACAUCCCAGGGCAGGUAAUUAUCUUCUAUCCAUAGAGGCUCAUGGGAGGUUUCCAUAGGGCUGAACCCCCACAUCUCCUUACUGGGGUCCCACUUAUCUAAGCAGCAUGUAAACAUGUGCUGAACUUGCAGCCAAUUACUAUCAGGAUAUAAACAUAUAACGUGAUUGGCUGUAAACUCACUUUUUUAUUUUCUGGGAUCAGAGGUGAGUGGAGCAUUGAUACACGGGGGCAUUAAGGGAAAUAAUGGCAGAAAUGAAGGAAAUGUCUAUUUGAGUGUGACACUGGCUAGUGCCUGGGAUAUUACCCUGGCU